Molecule: ribosomal RNA, 260 nt
Filed under: uncultured bacterium
Lineage: Bacteria
Description: partial 16S ribosomal RNA
Rfam family: Bacterial small subunit ribosomal RNA
Source: RNAcentral
GUCCACGCCCUAAACGAUGUGUGCUAGUUGUUGGGCCUUUUAGGUUCAGUGACGCAGCUAACGCAUUAAGCACACCGCCUGGGGAGUACGGUCGCAAGAUUAAAACUCAAAGGAAUUGACGGGGACCCGCACAAGCGGUGGAGUAUGUUGUUUAAUUCGAAGCAACGCGAAGAACCUUACCUACACUUGACAUACCUAUCGGGAUUUUCAGAGAUGAUUAUCUUCGGUUCGGCCGGAUAGGAUACAGGUGCUGCAUGGCU